AGCUCCAAUAGCGUAUAUGAAAGUUGUUGCAGUUAAAAAGCUCGUAGUUGGAUUUCGGAUUGCUCAGGAUGUGGUCCGCCGAAACGGCGUGUACCGCGCUUGGGUAUCCUUUCUUGGGGACAAAAGUAGGUAGUUUUUGGUGUCAUCAAGCAAUUGGUGGCAUCAGGGGCUAUCCACUCCCCAUCGUUUACUUUGAGAAAAUUAGAGUGUUCAAAGCAGGCGUAACCCAGCCUUGAAUACUGUAGCAUGGAAUGAUAAAACAAGACGAGAGUCUUAUUUUGUUGGUUUCUAGGGCUUUUGUAAUGAUUAAAAGGGACAGUUGGGGGCAUUUGUAUUCAGUUGUCAGAGGUGAAAUUCUAGGAUUAACUGAAGACAAACUACUGCGAAAGCAUUUGCCAAGGAUGUUUUCA
Molecule: ribosomal RNA, 410 nt
Filed under: uncultured eukaryote
Lineage: Eukaryota
Description: SSU rRNA
Rfam family: Eukaryotic small subunit ribosomal RNA
Source: RNAcentral